CAAAGAAAUGGGGAGCUCCAGCACG
This 25-nucleotide unclassified non-coding RNA is filed under the name Mus musculus (house mouse). RNAcentral describes it as "oocyte_clustered_small_RNA4209". The record is from RNAcentral. Lineage: Eukaryota; Metazoa; Chordata; Mammalia; Rodentia; Muridae.